GCUUGCUCCCUGGAAGUCAGCGGCGGACGGGUGAGUAACACGUGGGCAACCUGCCUGUAAGACUGGGAUAACUCCGGGAAACCGGGGCUAAUACCGGAUAACUCUUUUCUUCACAUGAGGAAAAGCUGAAAGAUGGUUUCGGCUAUCACUUACAGAUGGGCCCGCGGCGCAUUAGCUAGUUGGUGAGGUAACGGCUCACCAAGGCCACGAUGCGUAGCCGACCUGAGAGGGUGAUCGGCCACACUGGGACUGAGACACGGCCCAGACUCCUACGGGAGGCAGCAGUAGGGAAUCUUCCGCAAUGGACGAAAGUCUGACGGAACAACGCCGCGUGAGUGAUGAAGGUUUUCGGAUCGUAAAACUCUGUUGUCAGGGAAGAACAAGUACCGGAGUAACUGCCGGUACCUUGACGGUACCUGACCAGAAAGCCACGGCUAACUACGUGCCAGCAGCCGCGGUAAUACGUAUGUGGCAAGCGUUGUCCGGAAUUAUUGGGCGUAAAGCGCGCGCAGGCGGUUCCUUAAUUCUGAUGUGAAAGCCCUCGGCUCAACCGGGGAGGGUCAUUGGGAACUGGGGAACUUGAGUGCAGAAGAGAAGAGUGGAAUUCCACGUGUAGCGGUGAAAUGCGUAGAGAUGUGGAGGAACAC
This 647-nucleotide ribosomal RNA is filed under the name uncultured bacterium. Its description in RNAcentral is "bacterial SSU rRNA". It matches the Rfam family "Bacterial small subunit ribosomal RNA", at positions 78 to 709 of the family's 1533-position model. The record is from RNAcentral.